GGUACGUGGUCUCCUCCCUUCCGAAGGGCUUUUUCACUCCCAGUCCAAUCUGUCACCUAUAAACUCGUCCCUUCCCUGGAGAAAUCGUAGCCGAGAGGCUCGGUUGCUCCGGGCUGCCUUCCGAGCAGCUCUCUCCACUUCGGUGCUGAACCUUUCGCUCCUUGGAACUGCCGGGCUCGGUUCUUCGCCGGCUGCCGGGGGCUCAUUUGGGCAACGGAGAUGCUCGGGGGCGGCCCUGGACGCGCUGAGCCAAAAAAGGCAAAACCCAGUUACAGUAACAUGGACAAAACUGUAUGAUGCACAUCCCUGCUAAUUGAAUUGACCUUGUCAGGACAGCCUUGGAAUAAACAGUGCCUGGAAUGAGUCAGGGUAAUGACAGCAGUUCAUUCUUGGCCUGUUGCAAUUUAUUCUCCCUGUUUACAUGGGAGAGGCAUCAGGGUGCUUCUUUCCCUUUUCUGAGAGGGAGGUUGGAGUGAGUGAGUAGCUGUGUGGGGCUCAGUUGCCAGCUGGAGCUAAGCCAUGAAAAUUGAUACCCCAAAAUAAGAUUCCAACAAGACAUUUGUAUUAUAUGAUGGGACAUCCUGUGGCCAUGGAACAUCUAUUUAUUGAACUUUUUAUAUAGGCUAUGUCAUGUCUCUAGCCUGUUCCAUAUUUGCAAAGUGCUCAGAUUAAUGCAUAUUCUGAGAUGUAUAGUAGGUUUCUUAGAUUUCUACAAUGCCUUUCCUGCACGGACAUUUCACCACACUACAGACUCUAAGAAACGUGAAUACCACUGCCUGGAACAUGAGUAAUAUGGCAAGAAGAGCUUUAGGUACUGAGGCACCAACCACAUUCUAUCUUUGGGAAUAGUUCUGAUCUGGGAACUGGAUUGGAAUCAGAUUAAUGAGUGAUUCUGUGCAACUAUUUGACAUGGAGAACUGAACUGCUGGUGGCCAAAGAGGAGGUGUCAGAAAAAGGCCAGUGCUUAGCCAGUGGACAUACUAAGACAGAAAACCCAAGUAUCCACUUUUUUUAUUUUAAAUGCUGACUAAGCUGCUCAAAAAUUAGGAAGAAGGUCAAAAAAUGGAUUCAGAAUUGCAAAUUAUUACAAGGAAAAGAUCUAGUUUCAUUUAUUUUCUCUUCCAUGGAGUCAACUUUUUAUUUCACAGAUUUACCUAUUAAGUAAAUGAUGAUAUCAAAAGUCUGUGAUGUUCUAGCACUGGAGGUAGAAAUGACAACAGAAAAUAAUGUCAAAAGAAUGCAUGAGUUAAAGUUCUCCAUAUAGAAGCACAGACUCUCAGCAGCCUGGCAAUAAUUCUGCUGAAGUCAAGUUGCUUCCUCACAGAAUAAGAAAUCACUUUGUACUGAUGGACACUUCUGUCUUGUGGGGCGGCAGACUUUUUGAUUUGCAUUAGUCACCACAAAACCUGGUAAUUUCUGUACAUUUAUUUCUUUAUCUAUCUGUUCUCUGUCAGUGGGUUCUGUUACUUCUGUGCUUUUUGUAUAUCUCUGACUCUUACUGUAAUUGUCAUGUGAGAGUAAGAGAAUAUUUGGCAUACCGUCAGCAUGUCAUUGAAAAACAAUAAAAAUGUCUUUCUUAGAGAUUCA
This is a long non-coding RNA of Tyto alba (common barn owl), 1587 nucleotides long. RefSeq lists it as uncharacterized. NCBI's taxonomy places the organism in Eukaryota, Metazoa, Chordata, Aves, Strigiformes, Tytonidae. The record is from RefSeq and is a predicted model, not a curated record. The transcript has 3 exons.